GCGAGACGCGCUGUCCGCCGGACGAAAGCGACCGAUAAACUGUCCGCGGAUCGUGCCGGGCGCAGCUCCCGGACGGUCCGCCAAAUGAUCAGCCAGCAGCCGCUGCAACCCCAGGGAG
Molecule: small RNA, 118 nt
Filed under: Streptomyces sp. CB01580
Lineage: Bacteria; Bacillati; Actinomycetota; Actinomycetes; Kitasatosporales; Streptomycetaceae
Description: Streptomyces-metK RNA
Rfam family: Streptomyces-metK RNA
Source: Rfam by way of RNAcentral